GACGAACGCUGGCGGCGUGCUUAACACAUGCAAGUCGAACGGAAAGGCCCUGCUUUUGUGGGGUGCUCGAGUGGCGAACGGGUGAGUAACACGUGAGUAACCUGCCCUUGACUUUGGGAUAACUUCAGGAAACUGGGGCUAAUACCGGAUAGGAGCUCCUGCUGCAUGGUGGGGGUUGGAAAGUUUCGGCGGUUGGGGAUGGACUCGCGGCUUAUCAGCUUGUUGGUGGGGUAGUGGCUUACCAAGGCUUUGACGGGUAGCCGGCCUGAGAGGGUGACCGGCCACAUUGGGACUGAGAUACGGCCCAGACUCCUCCGGGAGGCAGCAGUGGGGAAUAUUGCACAAUGGGCGGAAGCCUGAUGCAGCAACGCCGCGUGCGGGAUGACGGCCUUCGGUUUGUAAACCGCUUUCGCCUGUGACGAAGCGUGAGUGACGGUAAUGGUAAAGAAGCACCGGCUAACUACGUG
RNAcentral lists this ribosomal RNA (467 nucleotides) under uncultured bacterium. RNAcentral describes it as "partial 16S ribosomal RNA". It matches the Rfam family "Bacterial small subunit ribosomal RNA", at positions 28 to 507 of the family's 1533-position model. The record is from RNAcentral.